CAGAGUAAUCGGGUUUCGUGGCUUUCCCUCGGUUUCACUUCCAACUCCUACAAUGCUUUAUAAGUACCCACAGUACGAUGUUCCCAAAUUCACUUCUUUCUUGAUCUCCUCCAUUCCAUUUGAUUUAUUUCACUUAUGUACCGAUUACCAUGAGCGAAAGCGGAACUGGAGGAAAAUUCUGUAAGCGGCCGCUGCACGGGGCUCGGUUCGCUCCUUACGGCCCACCGAAGGCGGCUAGUGGAGCAUGCCGGCCUCCGCGGACCAAUCACGCGAGGGUGAGCCGGUGGUUGUCGAGGUUCGUUGAUCCCGCAGCUCGGUUUCUUGGUAGGAGUGUCUCUCGCUUCUUCUCAUCCGUGUUCCGCAAGGGCAUUGCUGCUACUCCAGGAGAAAAUAUUUAUACGGUCGAGAAGGUUUAAAAAAUGAAAUCCUCUCCGGAAGUAGGAGAGCAAAGCAAAAAUACCAUUGAUAUAACACUUUCAGUAUGCUAUGAUGGAAGCGAUGCAUCUAAGAAAGAGAUACUUUCGACAAUUGAUGCCAUUGUUUAAUUUCAAGAACCAGCCAGCCAAAAAGAAUU
Molecule: long non-coding RNA, 574 nt
Organism: Phalaenopsis equestris
Lineage: Eukaryota; Viridiplantae; Streptophyta; Magnoliopsida; Asparagales; Orchidaceae
Exons: 3
Source: RefSeq, a predicted model, not a curated record